This 72-nucleotide transfer RNA is filed under the name Heliconius melpomene (postman butterfly). RNAcentral describes it as "tRNA HMEL005181". It matches the Rfam family "tRNA". From Rfam's summary of the family: Transfer RNA (tRNA) molecules are approximately 80 nucleotides in length. Their secondary structure includes four short double-helical elements and three loops (D, anti-codon, and T loops). Lineage: Eukaryota; Metazoa; Arthropoda; Insecta; Lepidoptera; Nymphalidae. The record is from RNAcentral.
GAACGUAUAGCUUAGUUGUCAAAACACCUACAUGGUUUCCAUGAGGUGCUGGUUCAAAUUCUGCUACGUUCA